CGUGUAGGCGGGCAUGCAAGUCAGAUGUGAAAUCCCACGGCUCAACUGUGGGCGUGCAUCUGAAACUGUAUGUCUUGAGUGCUGGAGAGGAAAGCGGAAUUCCUAGUGUAGCGGUGAAAUGCGUAGAUAUUAGGAGGAACACCAGUGGCGAAGGCGGCUUUCUGGACAGUAACUGACGCUGAGGCGCGAAAGCGUGGGGAGCAAACAGGAUUAGAUACCCUGGUAGUCC
Molecule: ribosomal RNA, 229 nt
Filed under: uncultured bacterium
Lineage: Bacteria
Description: partial 16S ribosomal RNA
Rfam family: Bacterial small subunit ribosomal RNA
Source: RNAcentral